UACGGAGGUUGCAAGCGUUAAUCGGAAUUACUGGGCGUAAAGGGUGCGUAGGUGGUUGAUUAAGUUAUCUGUGAAAUCCCCGGGCUCAACCUGGGCAGGUCAGAUAAUACUGAUUGACUCGAGUAUAGGAGAGGGUAGUGGAAUUUCCGGUGUAGCGGUGAAAUGCGUAGAGAUCGGAAGGAACACCAGUGGCGAAGGCGGCUACCUGGCCUAAUACUGACACUGAGGCACGAAAGCGUGGGGAGCAAACAGG
This 253-nucleotide ribosomal RNA is filed under the name uncultured bacterium. RNAcentral's name for it is "partial 16S ribosomal RNA". It matches the Rfam family "Bacterial small subunit ribosomal RNA", at positions 524 to 776 of the family's 1533-position model. The record is from RNAcentral.